AUUGAACGCUGGCGGCAUGCCUUACACAUGCAAGUCGAACGGCAGCACGGGUGCUUGCACCUGGUGGCGAGUGGCGAACGGGUGAGUAAUACAUCGGAACAUGUCCUUUAGUGGGGGAUAGCCCGGCGAAAGCCGGAUUAAUACCGCAUACGAUCUACGGAUGAAAGCGGGGGACCUUCGGGGCUCGCGCUAUAGGGUUGGCCGAUGGCUGAUUAGCUAGUUGGUGGGGUAAAGGCCUACCAAGGCGACGAUCAGUAGCUGGUCUGAGAGGACGACCAGCCACACUGGGACUGAGACACGGCCCAGACUCCUACGGGAGGCAGCAGUGGGGAAUUUUGGACAAUGGGCGAAAGCCUGAUCCAGCAAUGCCGCGUGUGUGAAGAAGGCCUUCGGGUUGUAAAGCACUUUUGUCCGGAAAGAAAUCCUUGGCCCUAAUACGGUCGGGGGAUGACGGUACCGGAAGAAUAAGCACCGGCUAACUACGUG
This 486-nucleotide ribosomal RNA is filed under the name uncultured bacterium. Its description in RNAcentral is "partial 16S ribosomal RNA". It matches the Rfam family "Bacterial small subunit ribosomal RNA", at positions 30 to 507 of the family's 1533-position model. The record is from RNAcentral.